UUCUCUUUUUUUUAAUGAACGCAAAAAAAAACAAUUGAAACAAUAUUGAUUUCUUGCGGAGAUAUUCGAUUUUAAAAUCGCGCGGGUCUUACAGAUCUAGUCUGUCCAACUAAUCACUUUUGAGGUCUGUUCACGAAAGAUUAUUUAAGAUCUCAAACUAGAGAGAAAAAUCAAAUAUCGAAAGAAUCUUAGCGAAAGUAUGCAAUCGGGAUCUUGUUCUCUUCGGCUUGAACUUUCACAAAAAGAGAAGUUACCAAUGAUAAAUACAGUUAAUACCACUAAACUAAGUCGUGCAUCUUAAAUAUACAAAUAAAAGAGUUAAGAAAUAUAUAAAAAGAGAAGAGCUCGAUUUUUGAAGUUGUGACAUUGAGAAAAAAACUAAUUUCAUUUGGAGAUCUCUCAUAAUAAAUGUAAAAGAGAAUUAGAAAGAAAUUAUUUUUUGAGUGGAAAAUCGUAAAUGACAUUUAUUUAUCGAAUCUUCACCGAGAAACAGAUCUGGAAGUGCGUUUUUAAAAUUCACAAAAUUCUGCGCGAAGAUGUAAUUACAGCGUCGACUUUCAUGCUAUUCUGGUUGAUAAUCUCAGAGAUAAGAACGAAGAUUCCGGCAAGUAACUUACUUAGGAAACGGUCUCGUGACGUGUGCGCUUCUUCGACGCGAAGGAGAGAAUUUUCCGUGUGAAUUUUUUGGCAAGCAUAAUUAUGAAGAUCCGAUGGUGUGCGUGUGUGUGUUGACGACAAGAGCCGGUGACGCGCGGCGUCGCGUCGCGAUGCUGCUCAUGGAUGUUGUUUCCUCGUCGCGUAACUUGCGUUAUCGCGCGUCGUGAAGCGCGCGCACGAAUCACUCGUAAAUUCACGUAUUACGUAAAUCCGUGCACGAUCCCGUGUGUGUACGCACAGGCCAAUUAACGGCCAGCGUUUCUUUAUCGCGUUGUCACGGUUCAUGGCAGGAGUCCGCCGCGACACGACGAGUCUCCCGAUGAUAUUCCGAAAAAAAACCUUGUCGAGAGUGGACCGUUCGCUCGCUUCACGAGAAAGAGAGAGAGAGAGAGAUUCGUCGGUUUCUGCGGAUAUUAAUCUGACGACGCGAAAAAGCAGCCGAGCACGUGAUGCGCCGCGGGAAUAUCGAAUUAAUAUUGAAUGAAAUAAUUAGGAGAGAUAUUGCGAGAAUUUCUCGGAAUUUAUAAAUGCGCAGCGAAGAAAAAAUUAUAUCACAAUCAUGUGUUUCGAAUUGUAAGAGAGCAAAGCAAGAGGUGAGAUAGGAUGAAUCUUCAGCCACGCGGGUUCGGCAUGCUCUCGUUAAAUUCACAAGAGAUGGAUUGCUUUAACUACACAACACCGUCUCUUAGCACAUGUUUUAUUGCCAAAGAAACUUCCGCGAUCAAACGAGUGAUGCAGAAAAGAGUCAAUCCUGAUGUAAACUGAUAUUUCACUAAUCGAGGCGUUGAUUGCUCGCCAACGUCAAAACUCACACAUUUACUUUGCACAAAUAAUUCGUUCGUGUUUACAAAUUUUACGUAAAUGACAAUAUUUAAUUUAUUCUACGUAUGUAUAAAGUCGACAUUUCAAUCGAUUGAUCAAACGCACUCGUCUAACUCUGAUUUUAAUGUAUUGUUAAUGCUUAAUUAACUAUUAACUUCGAAACUAACAUCGUUCGAAAUUGAGCUAUCAUGUGAAAGACGCGCAACCAAGUUAAACAUGUCUUAAUUUUCGACACCACGUUGAUACCACCGUUCUACGAUUUACAAUUGAAAUUAGCUUCGGCAAAAAAUAGAAAGAAUAUGUACAAUCGGUUAAAAAGUUUACUCUUAUUUAUGUCAAGAGUUACAUAUGGGCUUAUUCAAUUUUAUUUUUCCUAAUUAAAAAUCAAUUCGAAGUCGCGUUCAUUACUUAAAUGUGACAAUUCUCAAUUUGGAAUUCCGAUCUUCUAUAUUUAUCAAACUUUUUAUUUUUAUUCUCUUCACCUUUAUUUUAAUAACUUAUUCGCGGUUAUAUAUUUGUCUGAUUGUAUCAAAUACGUACAUUUUCUAUUAAGAAUUUCCUAUUAAAUGCAGCAGAGUAUCCCAAGAAUGCCGGAAUUCAAUCGCGUUGAACGUACAUAGCUACCGUUUAAUUUCAAUCACGAUUAAUUUGUUGUUAUAUCAUUCGAUCACUUGUUCUCUCCGAGAGUUGUUCGAUUUAGUGGCGUCGACCGCGCGAUUACCGUAACGCGUCGCAUACCGGAACCAUUAAAGUAGGUCACUGUCAUGUGCUGACGGGCGUCCGGCCGGCGUCGCGGAUCGACGACCGGCGUCCCGUUCGUACGGAAUCACAGGAACGAUCUCGAUAAAUUCACAAACCGGGAACGCGGAGUCGACAAUACGGCGAACUAAAAGGAACUGGCCCCGCGACGAAACGGCGCGCCGUCGAUUUCUGUCGGCUCGGGCUUCGACUCCUUCCUCCUCCUGCUUGCUGCUGCUGUUGCUGCUGCCGAUUCGCGAUCAUCGCCGACGUCAUCGUACGCGAUCAUCGCCACCGCUGCCGUCGCCUUCGCCUUCGCCUCCCUACUGUAUGACGUCAUUCGCGAGCGCCGGAUGCUGUCAUCGUCGUGUCCGCGAUCGCUCGCGAGAUGAGAGGAUCUGUUCGACGCCCGCAAGUCAUCUCGACGAGUUAUGUUCCGGUUUGUGUCGAACACUUUUACGUGUUAGGAUUCUUCGUGUCAACUCAUAUAAGAUUUAGAACUUACAUACAUUCUCUUGUUUCGACAUUUCUGGAAAGUUACAUAUAAAAUAUUAAAGACUCGGUUAAAAAAAAGUCGAGAAUAUUUAAGUGACAUUUCGACAAUAAAAAAAUAGAAAAUAAUAUUUGAUUCAUUUAAAGUUAUCACACAGCACACGUUUUGGGUGUUGCACAUAAAUAGAUACGCAAUAACAAACACCUAAAUUUACUUCUGAUAAAUGUAUGUUAUGCUGUUACGUGCUGUGUGCAAGACCGAGGAAAACUGAGGUUCUGCGAACAUGCAAUCACGAUUCGGCACGAUCACUUGAAAGAGGAUUUCCUGGCGCUGGGUCAUCGUAUCCUCCCGUCGUAGAUAGGAGGAAGAGAAAGAAAUGGAGAACGAUGUAUCGCGACCUCCUCAAGCUUGCUACCGGCCUGUGCUAUCAGGCCGAGCCUUCGUCACGGCGAACGAAGGUAUUCCGGACGUCGCCGUUACGGACCCCUUCUGUUAACCUGGCCCAGAAACCGAGCCGGAACUGUCGGUGGAAUCAAUGACCUUGGCGCGUGAGCUCCGUUCAUAGCCACCGACCUCGAGAAGAAAGUUUCAAGAGCUUUCAGCGACGAUGACCUCGUCGAUUCUAAUUUCCGCAUUGAAUGUUAAUUGUCAUCAUCUUUUACAUAAGUUCUUUUUAUAAAGAGCAGCAAAGUUAGAAAUAAAAUCAGUUCUCAAGAAUAGUAU
Molecule: long non-coding RNA, 3433 nt
Organism: Pseudomyrmex gracilis
Lineage: Eukaryota; Metazoa; Arthropoda; Insecta; Hymenoptera; Formicidae
Exons: 3
Source: RefSeq, a predicted model, not a curated record